This 1025-nucleotide long non-coding RNA is filed under the name Marmota monax (woodchuck). Lineage: Eukaryota; Metazoa; Chordata; Mammalia; Rodentia; Sciuridae. The record is from RNAcentral.
ACAGGUGAUGCUGGGGGAAAGGAUCCUUGCCACAGUUAUUUGCUUCCUGUGAAUUGUCUGUGAAGAUGAAUUCUCAAAAGAAGGAUUAAUCAUUUGUCCAAAGCAAGUUUUCACACUUCUGCCAAAUAUUGACUGUCCCUCUCCAAAAGUGUUAUUUCUUGAACUCUCUAGUGGUAGUGUUGUCCAAUGCGAAGUGCACAGGCUUUGAAAUCAGGACUAGGUUCAAAUUCCAGCUUGGUCACUUACUUUACCUCUCUAAGCCUUCAUUUUCUAAAACGGGAAUAAUAAAGGUGAUCUCAUCAUAAGGAUUAAAUGAGAUUUCAAAUACAAGGAACCUACCGAGUGCCUGAUUUAGGUGCUAAAUCCAUUCUUUGUAGCCUCUACAUUUUCUCUCUCCUUGGAGUUAUGUGGGACAAGCAACUUCUUACUUUUCAAACUUCCUGUCCUUCUUGAACCAUGUUUUCCCAUGAAAGUCAUGGAACAGGAAUGAUCAUCUAUAGUGCUCUAAUGGGUGCUACUAAAGAGAAAUAUAAAGCCAUCCACAAAUUCAAACUGUGUGUGUAAUUUUACAUUUUCUGAUAGACACAUUUAAAAAUGUAAACAGAAAUAGGCUAAAUUAAUUUUAACCCCAGUAGGCCAUCCAUAUUUCCAGAUUCCACAUAAGCAGAUUUUGACCUGCCUCCAAUUUAAAAUGUUGAGGGUGUGGGGGACACAUGUAAAUUUUUUUUCUUAUGGAUGGAACUAGAGACCAUUAUGUUAAGUGAAAUAAGGCAAACUCAGAAGGUCCAAGAGUCGUAUGUUUCCUCUCAUACCUGGAAGAUAGAGAGGAAAAAGAAAAAGAAAGGUGGGAGAUGAGGAUAUCAUGAAAAUCCAAAGGAGAUCAGUAGAGGAAAGAGACUAGGGGAUGUGAGGUGCAGAGGGAUGGGGAAAGUGCUGGGGAGUGAUAUUAAUCAAAUCAUAUUGUUACAUUGCUUGCAUAUACAAAUAUGUAACAACAAAUCCCAUCAUUAUGUACAACUACAAUG